UGGGGAAUUUUGGACAAUGGGCGAAAGCCUGAUCCAGCAAUGCCGCGUGUGUGAAGAAGGCCUUCGGGUUGUAAAGCACUUUUGUCCGGAAAGAAAUCCUUGGCUCUAAUACAGUCGGGGGAUGACGGUACCGGAAGAAUAAGCACCGGCUAACUACGUGCCAGCAGCCGCGGUAAUACGUAGGGUGCAAGCGUUAAUCGGAAUUACUGGGCGUAAAGCGUGCGCAGGCGGUUUGCUAAGACCGAUGUGAAAUCCCCGGGCUCAACCUGGGAACUGCAUUGGUGACUGGCAGGCUAGAGUAUGGCAGAGGGGGGUAGAAUUCCACGUGUGAGCAGUGAAAUGCGUAGAGAUGUGGAGGAAUACCGAUGGCGAAGGCAGCCCCCUGGGCCAAUACUGACGCCUA
Molecule: ribosomal RNA, 403 nt
Filed under: uncultured bacterium
Lineage: Bacteria
Description: partial 16S ribosomal RNA
Rfam family: Bacterial small subunit ribosomal RNA
Source: RNAcentral